Non-coding RNA from Trichonephila clavipes, 73 nucleotides. Lineage: Eukaryota; Metazoa; Arthropoda; Arachnida; Araneae; Nephilidae. The record is from the annotation of a GenBank genome assembly.
GUCCCUGUGGCGCUAUGGAUAGCGCGUUGAUCUUCGGAUUCAAAGGUAGUGGGUUCGAAUCCUAUCUGAGAUG